Molecule: long non-coding RNA, 2286 nt
Filed under: Olea europaea subsp. europaea
Lineage: Eukaryota; Viridiplantae; Streptophyta; Magnoliopsida; Lamiales; Oleaceae
Source: RNAcentral
UCCUCUUGCCAAUUUGGAGUGAACAAGGCCUAUAGUCAAGCUAGGGACUAUAACCAAGCGCUUGUUGGGAGGCAACCCAACUUUCUUAUCCUUACACUUUUGUUUAUGUUACUUGUGAUUAAUACUUUUGUCAUUACAUUUUGAAUUAAUACAAUUCUUUUGUAGGUCAAAAUUUUUGAAGUCCUAGCCACCCAUAGAUCUCAACAAGUUUGGGGGUGCAUGGUCCACUAAGUCAUAAACCAAAAAUUCAUCUACAACAUCUUUCAACAAACACCUAAUCAGGGAAGUUUCGUCAAUCCUCUCUCCUUAUUUUGUAUUUAUGCACACAUUGAGGACAAUGUGUAAGUUAAGUUUGGGGGUGUUAAUUGUUGAUUGGAUAUUGUGCCUAUUUAUCGUGCUUAUAUUGGUGUUGAUAGUGACAUAUUGGAUAGCCUUGUUGGCUUUUGAUGAUUUGAUGUGAUGUUUAAAAUUGUUAUUAAUUCAUAAGUUAUGUCCAAUCAUGCUAUUUGUUUCGAUCUUGAAAAUUUGCUUGUGCAUGUGAGAUGUUAUACCACUUUGAGCACAAUAGUCACAACUGGUUAUUGUCUAGAUGUGGAAAUGAUUGAUUGAUGGAAAAUUUUUGAAUUGGAAGAACUAGGUUAUGAGUUACACAUAAACUUCUAUCAUACUCUCAAUAACUCCACCAUUUUGUGAAUUAAGUUUGGGGGUGGUCGAGCCAGUGAAGGAUAUUAUCUAGAAGUGUGUUGAUUCCAUGCAUGUUGAAAAUAUUUGUGUGGAGUAUCUUUUGCCAAGCAUAAACUAGGUAAUGACCAUAUGCUGGGGAUCUAAGUCCUAUGUGUUGAUUUAUGCUUAAAAAGAAUGUUAUUGUACUUGUUGAAUCUUGGGCCUCACUUCGUAGCCUUUUUUUACUCGAGUUAUUAAGUUCGUAAGGGUAUUUUGAAACCCGGUACCCUUUGGCCUAAACAACCAGGGAGUUAUUGACCUAAAGCUCAUUACAAGGGUCAAUAAGAAAGUUUAAGGGAGUGAGGUAAAACAUGGCAUUCAGCUAAAAAAAAAAAGUUGAAAAAAAAAAAGAAGAGAAAAAAAUUUGUUAUUCAUAUUUGAGCUUAGAUAACUAGUGGGUUUGAAUUGCUUAGUAUAAACUUGAAUGUGGAAGCACUCAUUGGUGGAGAAUCAUCACAUGCCUAGAUGUUGCAAUUGCCGGUUAGACUCAACCAAACUAGAGCAGAAAAAGAAAUGAGUGAUUGAGAGCAACCCUUAGAUUUACACCACGGGAAGUACAAUAAUAUCUAUUUUAGUGUGAAUCUCACGAGUGGGGAAAGGAAAUAUUUGACCACAAAGGCUCGGGUUGGAGCCAAUUUGAAGAUUUUUCCAUCUUGACAACUUUUUCCUAAUUCAGAUAAUCAUUAAAAGUGAUGUUGCACACAUACGCCGAUCAAACAUUAGAUAAGCUUAAAUUAUUUUUGCUAGCAUUAUUUGGAGCAUAUUUGUGAAUUGAUUAUACAAUUUUACACUCAUUGAUAUUUUUGGCAAGCUUUUUAGUGUGUUGACCGUUAUCACGUCUGCUUAAUUGUGUGGUAGAUAAUCUUGAUCGGGACGAGAAAGAGCUUAAGUUUGGGUGUGUGAUAAGUGUGUUUUUACACACUUAUUGGGCACUUAAUUUGAUACAAUUAUUGAUUAAAAGAAUGGAACUCUACUCACAAUUAAGUAUUAUUUGCUUUUGUAGGCUACAAAUUACUCAAGUAAAGAGAACAGGGCAAAAGGAGGAAAAAUGAGGAAAAAAAUACUAAAAUUGUACAAAAUUGUGAAGUUGGAGGACAAGGCAAAAAAUUCAAAAAGUGGAGGAAUUGUGAUGAAAUUUAUGGAGGGCAAAAGUGAAAUGAAAGUCAAAAUUCAAGGACCAAAUUGUACAAGAUCAAAAGUUGAGAGACUUGGCUACAGAUUACACAAAAUUAACUUUUGUAGCUGCUGAAACAGAGACCCAGGCGCUGCAACACCAUUGUUCUGGCACUACAGCGCCAAUUUGUAAUUAAAAAGGAAAUUGGGGACCUUUUUGCUAACUUUCCAAAAGCCCAGGGACCAAAGCUGCAACUUUCCUUAGGUUUUAAUAUAAAAACCAGCAGCUGAGCAGUUUUUGAGAGAGCUUCAUUUUUCUGGGUUCCGUCUUCUGCUGGUUCUUUCUUUUUAUUUUGUUUUCAUUUUGUUUUGUUUUCUUUUUUCUUUUCCUUUUACUUGGUAUUUUGGAGAACAAAUCAUAGAGCACAAGGAGGUACCAAAGGAUUUGGC